GACGAACGCUGGCGGCGUGCUUAACACAUGCAAGUCGAACGGAAAGGCCCUGCUUUUGUGGGGUGCUCGAGUGGCGAACGGGUGAGUAACACGUGAGUAACCUGCCCUUGACUUUGGGAUAACUUCAGGAAACUGGGGCUAAUACCGUAUAGGAGCUCCUGCUGCAUGGUGGGGGUUGGAAAGUUUCGGCGGUUGGGGAUGGACUCGCGGCUUAUCAGCUUGUUGGUGGGGUAGUGGCUUACCAAGGCUUUGACGGGUAGCCGGCCUGGGAGGGUGACCGGCCACAUUGGGACUGAGAUACGGCCCAGACUCCUACGGGAGGCAGCAGUGGGGAAUAUUGCACAAUGGGCGGAAGCCUGAUGCAGCAACGCCGCGUGCGGGAUGACGGCCUUCGGGUUGUAAAACGCUUUCGCCUGUGACGAAGCGUGAGUGACGGUAAUGGGUAAAGAAGCACCGGCUAACUACGUG
This 468-nucleotide ribosomal RNA is filed under the name uncultured bacterium. RNAcentral describes it as "partial 16S ribosomal RNA". It matches the Rfam family "Bacterial small subunit ribosomal RNA", at positions 28 to 507 of the family's 1533-position model. The record is from RNAcentral.